This 254-nucleotide ribosomal RNA is filed under the name uncultured bacterium. RNAcentral describes it as "partial 16S ribosomal RNA". It matches the Rfam family "Bacterial small subunit ribosomal RNA", at positions 524 to 776 of the family's 1533-position model. The record is from RNAcentral.
UACAGAGGGUGCGAGCGUUGUUCGGAAUUACUGGGCGUAAAGCGCGCGUAGGCGGCCUUUUAAGUCUGCUGGUGAAAUGCCGGGGCUCAACCCCGUGCCCGCCACAGAUACUGGGAGGCUGGAGACGAGUAGAGGCAAGCGGAAUUCCGGGUGUAGCGGUGAAAUGCGUAGAGAUCAGGCAGAACACCUGGGGCGAAGGCGGCCAGCUGGGCCGUCCCUGACGCUGAGGCGCGAAGGCGUGGGGAGCGAACGGG